RNAcentral lists this ribosomal RNA (478 nucleotides) under uncultured bacterium. RNAcentral's name for it is "partial 16S ribosomal RNA". It matches the Rfam family "Bacterial small subunit ribosomal RNA", at positions 28 to 523 of the family's 1533-position model. The record is from RNAcentral.
GACGAACGCUGGCGGCGUGCUUAACACAUGCAAGUCGAGCGAUGAAGUUCCUUCGGGAACGGAUUAGCGGCGGACGGGUGAGUAACACGUGGGUAACCUGCCUCAUAGAGGGGAAUAGCCUUUCGAAAGGAAGAUUAAUACCGCAUAAGAUUGUAGUUUCGCAUGAAACAGCAAUUAAAGGAGUAAUCCGCUAUGAGAGGGACCCGCGGCGCAUUAGCUAGUUGGUGAGGUAACGGCUCACCAAGGCGACGAUGCGUAGCCGACCUGAGAGGGUGAUCGGCAUGAUUGGGACGGAGACACGGCCCAGACGCCUACGGGAGGCAGCAGUGGGGAAUAGUGCACAAUGGGGGAAACCCUGAUGCAGCAACGCCGCGUGAGUGAUGACGGUCUUCGGAUUGUAAAGCUCUGUCUUCAGGGACGAUAAUGACGGUACCUGAGGAGGAAGCCACGGCUAACUGCGUGCCAGCCGCCGCCGUAA